UACGUAGGGGGCAAGCGUUGUCCGGAUUUAUUGGGCGUAAAGGGCUCGUAGGCGGCCAACUAAGUCAGACGUGAAAUCCCUCGGCUUAACCGGGGAACUGCAUCUGAUACUGGAUGGCUUGAGAUUGGGAGAGGGAUGCGGAAUUCCAGGUGUAGCGGUGAAAUGCGUAGAUAUCUGGAGGAACACCGGUGGCGAAGGCGGCAUCCUGGACCAACACUGACGCUGAGGAGCGAAAGCCAGGGGAGCAAACGGG
This 253-nucleotide ribosomal RNA is filed under the name uncultured bacterium. RNAcentral describes it as "partial 16S ribosomal RNA". It matches the Rfam family "Bacterial small subunit ribosomal RNA", at positions 524 to 776 of the family's 1533-position model. The record is from RNAcentral.